Ctenopharyngodon idella (grass carp) is the source of this 6848-nucleotide long non-coding RNA. RefSeq lists it as uncharacterized. NCBI's taxonomy places the organism in Eukaryota, Metazoa, Chordata, Actinopteri, Cypriniformes, Xenocyprididae. The record is from RefSeq and is a predicted model, not a curated record. The transcript is spliced from 3 exons.
AGGAGAAAGAAAGCAAGUGUGAAAAUUCAAGGAAUUUGUACAUGACAAAAUAGGAGUUCUGGAAGAUUUUAUUUGAAAAAACAGCAGUUAUGCUUUGUUCCAUUUAACUGAAUUUCUGCAAUUCCAACUAUUGCAAAAUAAAUUUGAGGAAAUGUGGGCGUUGACACCAACUUUUGGUGUUCCUCUAAUUUUACUGGCCUAACAGCAUGCUGAAAUAUAGUAUAAAAGCACUGGAAUUUGUCACUUUGAUGGAGAGACCUAGAAGUUGUCUUUCAUCACUGUUUUUACUUGUUUACUUGUUACGUGUUCUUACUGUUCCUACAAAAAAUGAUUGUAAUUUUAACGGUAAAAGACUGUAAAAAUGCUACGGUGAAAAACAGUUAAUUGAUUUACAGAAACUUUUCGUACUAUAUACGGUGAAUAACUGUAAUAGAUCUAACCGUACAUUUAAUGUAAUUUUACAGUAAAAUACCGUUAAAUUUACAGUUUUUGGAAAAAACCGUAAAUUCACAUUCCCACAAUUCCCUGUGUGACACUUCACUUUUGAUGUAUUUUCGGUGAAAUAACUGUUUCUUCUUAGUUUUUUCUAACCAGUUAUGUACAUUAGGGUUUUUGUGUUACAUCUAAUGUUGUUAAAUUAAUGUUUAUUGCAUUUUUUUUUUUUUUUUUUUAAUUUCAUGUGUUACCAUGAUGGUGUUCAGUGUUUGUGUGAAUGACACUGUGUGCACCUUCUAUAUAUUAGUAUUGUCCUUCUCAGCUUUUGGAAAAGCUGCCUGUGAUGAGCUUUGGUUCACAAUGUGACUCUCAUCACUACUGUGUUUGGUGGUUGUCAGUGUAUUACAAAGGUACAAAACAGAUAGUACUUCAGUAGGUUGGUAAAUUAACAUUAUAUCGGUUGAUGAAAUACAUUUCUUUUACUGUAAAUUUAAGUUAAAUCUGUAAAACCUAAAAUGUUGCUACUGUAUUUUUUUACGGUAAAUUUCUGGCAACCACAGCUGCUGGGUUUUUUACCGUAAAUUUAAUGGAAUUUUUUUACAGUGUGUAAAAUAAACAGUUAUGAACCGUAAUUAUUACAAGCGCUAUCCCGUAAAACCUAAAAUGUUGCUACCGUAUUUUUUACGGUAAAGUUCUGGCAACCACAGCUGCAGUUUUUUUUACCGUAAAUUUUACAGGGAUUUUAAUUUUUUUUUUUUUUGGACAUUGUAGUCAUUUUAUAAUAUUUACGUCGGGUUUGCUGUUUUAUAUUUCCUGUUUUAGCUGAGUGGGCGUGGCCUUAAAGAGAGCGUGAACUGCAUGGGAGCGCUCAUUUGAGCUAUUUGUGGAAAUGUUUGUGCAAAUGUAUCCAUCCUAUUUACUGUACUUAUUGAUUUGUUUUAACGCUUGUUCUUAAUCAUCUCAAUCAAUGUAUUUAUUUAUUAAUCAUAUGGUGAAGCAAGCGGUAAUUUAAAAAAAAAAAAUGAUACGCUCCAAUUAGUAAGCGGGGAAAUGUGUAUUUAAGGCAGCCGUCAUUAGUGGAAGGAAGGAUUGAAAGACUGAUCAUAUUUUUUGAGAGAAUGUGAACUAGGCAGUGUUGAGGAAAGUUACUUUCAAAAGUAAUGCAUUACAAUAUUGCAUUACUCCCUUAAAAAGUAUCUAAUUGCGUUAGUUACUUUUUAUGGAAAGUAAUGCAUUACAUUACUUUUGCCUUACUAUUUCUCAUCAGGGCUGGCUUGUUUGUUUGUUUUCAUAACAAAAAAGUUAUAUUUUUGGCGAAUGUAAAGGCCGUUUCACACCAAAAGUGAAAUGAAUAAGCCUCAGGCUGAAGGAAAUGCACAUUCACGCCUGUACAGUAGAGGGCGCAGUUAAAAUAAACAAGCCUUUCAGCUGUGCUGCCAUUCUGGAAUACAGAAGAAUAGAUGCAGGAGAAGUAAAUGAGUAAAUGUAUGCUCACAUUUAGUCUAGAACUAGUCUAGAAUAACCAUCAUGUUUACACAGCGCACACAACGCCUCUGCACUUCUGAUUUCUCUCAACAUGGGGACAAGAGAGCUGUGAGUCAAUACAUUGGAAAACAAAGUAACUCGUUACUUAUUUGAAAAGUAACUCAGAUAUUUUGUUGUAAAUUCAAAAGUAAUGUGUUACUUUACUAGUUACUUGAAAAAAGUAAUCUGAUUACAUAACUCGUGUUACUUGUAAUGCGUCACCCCCAACAUUGGAACUAGGUCAUAGAAGCACUGCUUCAGCACACUGAAACUCUUUCCUCAGAUGAAUAGGAGAGUUUGUACUGUUGUAGUACAUAACAGUUCUAGUUUUUAGACUGUUUUUAUUGAUAACUUGUUUUAUUUCCCUUAACCAUAUUUAUUUGCACAUUUGCUUUAAUAAACACCUUUUUGGACUACAAAGUCGCUCCGGUUCUUACAUCAUGGUGUGAAUCUCUUUGUGACUGCUUGGGACCCUAUCACAAUCACGAUUUACACAACUCUGUUCAUUUGUGUUCACAGCAUUCCAGACAACAGUAUAGGAGCAGUGAGGGGUGGAAGUGGAAUGCAGUGUGGAUUUACGUUUUUUUUUUUUUUUUUUUCCUGGAGCGAGGAGCGUUUUUUUUUUUUUGAAAGUGCAUUUUCUCUCACUCAAAGUAUCUCUCUCUCACCAAUGAGCGUGGAACAAGUGGAAAAAUGGAAAACUGAAAUUGUAGCUGAAGCAGAGUGAUUACAGAACACAUUAAGUGGGAGGGUUAACUAAUGUUGCUCGAAUCCACUCACAUACUCCAGACCGUUUUUUAAUCUGUGCUGAUAAUCAGUAUAAUGCGAUAUUGCUUGAAGAGACAGUCCAUCAAAAAAUGAAAAUUAUGCCAUCAAUUACUCACCAACAUCAUUUAAAUUUGUACAAUUUAUUUUCUUCCACGGAAAACAAAAGAAAGUUCUUACCAACUUAAUUAAUGUCAAUGGGGUCCAAUUGACUUUCAAUAUAUGGACAAAAGCAGUGUUCCACAGCAGAAAGUAAAGGCUCAUUCAAGAAUGAUAACUACAAAGAUAAUUAUUAGCAUCCACACCAAUGCACAAUAAUGUUUUGUUUAUUAUAGCCGUGCAGUUAAGCCAUCUGUCACUCUAAAUGCUUGUGCUCUUUAAAAUUGUGUGGAUUCCGACUGGCUGCCAAUGUUUUUUUCUUCUUUUUUUUUAUCAUUUUAUUAUUCAUCAGCUGAAACUGACUCCAACGAUAUUGAUCCUUCAUGUCAUUUUUGUUAUAGCUGUGGUGUCUUCCCUAUUCUCAAAGAAGUUAUAGUUAUAGUCCUUGGUGUGACAAUCAAUGUAACAUUGUUCCAAAAGCCUUACAAUGGAUUUUCAAAAUACACUAAAGGCCCCCUAUACUCACCCCUAUAACUCUUAUUUCCUCAUAUACAUUUUUUUUUCGUUCUUCAUUAGGGGUAAAUAACAGUUAGAAAAACCUUUGCAGUGGUAUACUAUCAGUGAACAUCCCGACACCACCCACAUUGCUGAGAGCGAUGCAUAUGUAAAUAUGUGCUCCGCGCUUUCCUCACAAUAACAAAAAACUAAAACAGCAGUGAGAAACCGCAGUUAAAGGGUUAGUUCACCCAAAAAUUAAAAUUCUUUCAUUAAUUACACACAUGUUCUAUGUCCGAAUGCCAGCUCAGUAUUGGCCGGUGCUGUACACGUGAACACCAUGAUGCAUGCGCGUGAUGCUGACGCAGGAGCCGGCCAAUAAUGAGUCACCGUUCUGACGUAGAACACGGAAGCGCUGCACUGCGUUCACUACGUCAACUGUGUAAGAGACUGACGUGGCAGAGAAGAAAUUGUUGAAUAAAGUCAUUAUUUUUGUUUUUGCGCACAAAAAGUACUCUCUUGGAUUAAUAAAAUUAAGGUUCAACCACUGUAGUCACGUGGACUACUUUUACGAUGUCUUUAAUGAAGGAGUCAGAGAGCUCUCGGAUUUCAUCAAAAAUAUCUUAAUUUGUGUUCCGAAGAUGAACGAAGGUCUUACGGGUUUGGAACAACAUGUGUGAAUAAUUAAUGACAGAACUUUCAUUUUUGGGUGAAUUAACCCUUUAAGAAAGCAUCUGAUCAUAGCAAUUGGGGAUGUUUGCACAAGCUCUUCAAUUCGGCACUCCAGUCAAGUAAAGUCACGUUUAUUUAUAUAGCACUAUACAUAGAACCUUUUCCGGAAAGUCAGCUUUAGCAAGCUGAUUUGAACAUCCGAAACGAACUCCAAACAAGCUUCAUUUUGGCCUGAUUUUGUUCUAAAUUAGGCCGUAAAGCAGUGGUUCCCAACCCUGGUCCUAAAGUACCCCAUCACUGCACAUUUUUGAUGAAUUUCUUCUCUAACACACGUAUUUGAGUACUUGUAGUCUUUACUAACGAGCUGCUGAGUUGAAUCAGGUGUGUUUGAUUAGGAAGAUAUCUAAAAUGUGCAGUGCUGGGGCCCUGGGGGUACUCCAGGAUUGGGAAACACUGCACUAAGUCUUCAGUUCUGGACAUUCUGUUCAUUAAUAUAACAUAUUUUCAGUGAGCUGAUGAUUCACUGAGUCCUGUGGGCAAUGUAACCCAUCUGUUCAUCUCUCAUCUGUGCUGUCUUAAACAACCAAGCAGACAAGGCCUUGGUUGAAAUUCCUCCAAAUAAGCAAAGUGACUGUUUCAGCUUUGGAAUAAUUUGCUUUUCUUGAGGGAAUCUAGUUCUGCUUAUCUGAUGAAAACAGAUAAAAGCACAAAAAUAAAGUGUUUGCACAUGAUCUUCGCUAGGAGUGAGCUGCAGGCCAUCCCAUUGUUGUGAAUCCAUGGAAACAAGAUACAUUUAACCUAAUUAUACAAAAGCUCAAGCUUGAUUGUUGCUUACAAACACAGAUUAAUCAUAUGAAUAAACAGUGAGUGAUGAUAAAGUCAAGCAACAGGGAAGAAAAAAAAAAACCCUCUAAGGCCCAUGCCAAUGGUCAGCCAAUGGAGGACUGUUGUUGAGCAUUUGUCUACCCAGUUUUUGCAGUGUUCUGCACUGUUUGCACUAGUCUGACCCCAUCUGCGGCUUUUCAGCCGAUUAAGCGUGUUGAAUUGGCAUUGGCGAGAGAGAUCACUCUGAUUGGCUAUUUAGUUUCACGAACCAGUGUACAAGGAAAACAGAAGUAACAAUUGUUCUUAUUAUGUCUCCUUAUAUUUUGCCUCCAAUGUUGCUUUCUUGUACAAGAGGAAGACCAAAGACUGACAAUGCAUGUCGUUCCACACCCGUAAGACCUUUGUUCAUCUUUGGAACACAAAUUAAGAUAUUUUUGAUGAAAUCCGAGAAGUAUCUGACUCCUCCAUAGACAGCAAUUUAACCACCACUUUCAAGAAAGGUACUAAAGACAUUGUUUAAAACGUCAACGUGACUGCAGUGGUUCAACCUUAAUUUUUGAAGCGACGAGAAUGCUUGUGUGUGCAAAAACAAAAAUAAAGGCCGAUACUGAGUUCACGUGAGCAGCACGAUGCAUGCGUGUGAUGCUGAUGCAGGAGCCGGCUAAUAAUGAGUCAGCAUUCUGACGUAGACAGAGUAAGAGAAUGACACAGAAGAGAGGGCAUUGCUGAACAUUAUUUUUUUGUUUUGUUUUUGUGCACAAAAGUAUUCUUCAUAAAAUUAAGGUUGAACCACUGCAGUCACGUGGACUAUUUUAGCAAUGUCUUUAGUACCUUUCUUGGCCUUGACAGUGGUGGUUAAAUUGUUGUCUAUGGAGUAAGAGAGCUCUCGGAUUUCAUCAAAAAUAUUUUAAUUUGUGUUCCGAAGAUGAACGAAGGUCUUACGGGUUUGGAACGACAUGAGGGAAGACAACACACAGAUUUGACCUCUGCCACACAUAGUUAUCUUCACCUGCAUCAUCAGGUCAGCCUGUUAUCAGUGUGGGUUCAAGGACAGCCUCUAAACUGAAGACACCAUCCAUGUGACUUGCAGCUCAGCUACACAUGAGCAGGUAUUCAAUAGGAAAAGCACCAUUAAUAAUUUAACAUUCUACCAUGUUGCUUUCCAGACACUGCUCAUCCCAAUUUGUGAGCAUUUAGCACACAGCUUAACUUAACUCAAAGCUGUAGGCAAUACUCAAGCUGUUCCUGUGAGAAGACAAAUGAAAAUAGACCAGAGGUUUUGAUUUGGUGUCCUCGUCUACCAGAUUCAACUUCGUAUAGGUGAAGAAUGCACAAAGUACACCAAAUGUGACAAUGCGGAAUUAAGGAAUGUCUUAAAUGUCAAAUACAUUGACACACAAAAAGAAAACUGAUUGUGAAAGUGAAGCUUACCUAACCAUCACUUAAAGGGGUAAUGAAUUUAGAAAUCAACUUUUCCUUGAGCUUUUGAUAUACAAGUGGUCAUCAUACUAAGUUUCAGAACUGAAAACUUCCUUGUUAGUCCAAUAAAAGAUUUUAUUGACAUCAGGCCCAUCGAACGACUGAUCCUGGAAUGUGCCUAUGUCAUAGAUAGGUGAAACGCCACAUCCUCAGAAGAAAUCAACGCCUAUUUCAUCAUUGCAAUGUUAGCCCCGCCCACUGGCAUGUUAGUGAGAUGACGAGGAGAGAAAAGUGAUACAGUACUUAAAAUAACAUGACCUUUCAAAGGAUCCUAAUGCUAGGAAUAUGGUUAUUUAUUUUCAACAAUGUGAAUGCCUCAUUUGAGCAUAAUUUAUUUGUAUUCAGUACAUUUCACUGUGGAUGUUUUUUUUGUAAAUCAAUCGCAUUUCGGCGUAGGCUUUGCAAACACACUUUUACGAUAUGGACUCAACAGUAAUGCAACAACAUGUAAGUAACUGUUAAUUCUAAUGCCUGAUAUGUAAGAUUCAUGUACAGUCAGAUGUUCUUUGUCUAUGUGUCAGUAAAUCAAACCAGUAAAUAAAUGGUCAACUUCA